Molecule: ribosomal RNA, 314 nt
Filed under: uncultured bacterium
Lineage: Bacteria
Description: partial 16S ribosomal RNA
Rfam family: Bacterial small subunit ribosomal RNA
Source: RNAcentral
UUAUAAGAGACAGCAGUAGCCACGGUAAAACGUAGGGUGCGAGCGUUAAUCGGAAUUACUGGGCGUAAAGCGUGCGCAGGCGGUUUUGUAAGACAGAGGUGAAAUCCCCGGGCUCAACCUGGGAACUGCCUUUGUGACUGCAAGGCUAGAGUACGGCAGAGGGGGAUGGAAUUCCGCGUGUAGCAGUGAAAUGCGUAGAUAUGCGGAGGAACACCGAUGGCGAAGGCAAUCCCCUGGGCCUGUACUGACGCUCAUGCACGAAAGCGUGGGGAGCAAACAGGAUUAGAUACCCCCGUAGUCCCUGUCUCUUAUAC